UUAGAGUUUGAUCCUGGCUCAGGACGAAUGCUGGCGGCACGCCUAACACAUGCAAGUCGAACGGAGAUGAUUUGAGUUUACUUAGAUUAUCUUAGUGGCGGACGGGUGAGUAACACGUGAGCAACCUGCCUUUGAGAGAGGGAUAGCUUCUGGAAACGGAUGGUAAUACCUCAUAACAUACAGAUACCGCAUGGUGACUGUAUCAAAGAUUUAUCACUCAAAGAUGGGCUCGCGUCUGAUUAGAUAGUUGGUGAGGUAACGGCUCACCAAGUCGACGAUCAGUAACCGGACUGAGAGGUUGAACGGCCACAUCUGGGACUGAGACACAGCCCAGACUCCUACGGGAGGCAGCAGUGGGGAAUAUUGCACAAUGGGCGCAAGCCUGAUGCAGCAACGCCGCGUGAGGGAAGACGGUCUUCGGAUUGUAAACCUUUGUCUUUGGUGAAGAAGAAAGUGACGGUACCCAAGGAGGAGGCCACGGCUAACUACGUGCCAGCAGCCGCGGUAAUACGUAGGUGGCAAGCGUUGUCCGGAAUUACUGGGUGUAAAGGGAGCGCAGGCGGGACAGCAAGUUGGAUGUGAAAUACCGAGGCUUAACCACGGAGCUGCAUCCAAAACUGUUGUUCUUGAGUGAAGUAGAGGUAAGGCGGAAUUCCGAGUGUAGCGGUGAAAUGCGUAGAUAUUCGGAGAAACACCAGUGGCGAAGGCGGCCUACUGGGCUUUAACUGACGCUGAGGCUCGAAAGUGUGGGGAGCAAACAGGAUUAGAUACCCUGGUAGUCCACACCGUAAACGAUGAUUGCUUGGUGUGGGGGGUGUGUCCCCCUCCGUGCCGGAGUCAACGCAAUAAGCAAUCCACGUGGGGAGUACGGCGGCAAGGUUGAAACUCAAUGGAAUUGACGGGGGCCCGCACAAGCAGUGGAUUAUGUGGUUUAAUUCGAAGCAACGCGCAGAACCUUACAGGUCUUGCCAUCCGACUACCGAGAUAGAGAUAUGUCAGGUGCCCUUCGGGGAAAGUCGAGACAGGUGGUGCUUGGUUGUUGUCAGCUCGUGUCGUGAGAUGUUGGGUUAAGUCCCGCACCGAGCGCAUCCCCUGCCAUUAGUUGGUACGCAAGAGCACUCUAAUGGGACCGCUACCGACAAGGUGGAGGAAGGUGGGGACGACGUCAAAUCAUCAUGCCCCUUAUGACCUGGGCUACACACGUAAUACAAUGGCCGUUAACAACGAGGAGCAAACCCGCGAGGGGGAGCAAAACUCCAAAAACGGUCUCAGUUCGGAUUGCAGUCUGCAACUCGCCUGCAUGAAGUUGGAAUUGCUAGUAAUCGCGGAUCAGCAUGCCGCGGUGAAUACGUUCCCGGGCCUUGCACUCACCACCCGUCA
RNAcentral lists this ribosomal RNA (1380 nucleotides) under uncultured bacterium. Its description in RNAcentral is "16S ribosomal RNA". It matches the Rfam family "Bacterial small subunit ribosomal RNA". The record is from RNAcentral.